GGUUAAGUUAGAAAGGGCGCACGGUGGAUGCCUUGGCACUAGGAGCCGAAGAAGGACGGGACUAACACCGAUAUGCUUUGGGGAGCUGUACGUAAGCGUUGAUCCAGAGAUUUCCGAAUGGGGGAACCCACUAUCUUUAGUCGGAUAGUAUCCUUACGUGAAUACAUAGCGUGAGGAAGGCAGACCCAGGGAACUGAAACAUCUAAGUACCUGGAGGAAGAGAAAGAAAAAUCGAUUUCCUGAGUAGCGGCGAGCGAAACGGAAAGAGCCCAAACCAAGAAGCUUGCUUCUUGGGGUUGUAGGACACUCUAUACGGAGUUACAAAAGAAAGUUAUAAAUGAAGCGGUCUGGAAAGGCCCGCCAAAGACGGUAACAGCCCGGUAGUUGAAAUAGCUUUCCCUCCAGAGUGGAUCCUGAGUACGGCGGAACACGUGAAAUUCCGUCGGAAUCCGGGAGGACCAUCUCCCAAGGCUAAAUACUCCCUAGUGACCGAUAGUGAACCAGUACCGUGAGGGAAAGGUGAAAAGCACCCCGGAAGGGGAGUGAAACAGUUCCUGAAACCGUGUGCCUACAAGUAGUUAGAGCCCGUUAAUGGGUGAUAGCGUGCCUUUUGUAGAAUGAACCGGCGAGUUACGAUUUGUUGCAAGGUUAAGCGGAAAAAGCGGAGCCGUAGCGAAAGCGAGUCUGAAUAGGGCGCAUAAGUAACAGGUCGUAGACCCGAAACCAGGUGAUCUACCCAUGUCCAGGAUGAAGGUAAGGUAAUACUUACUGGAGGUCCGAACCCACGCACGUUGAAAAGUGCGGGGAUGAGGUGUGGGUAGCGGAGAAAUUCCAAUCGAACUUGGAGAUAGCUGGUUCUCUCCGAAAUAGCUUUAGGGCUAGCCUCGAGGUAAAGAGUCAUGGAGGUAGAGCACUGUUUGGACUAGGGGCCCUUCUCGGGUUACCGAAUUCAGAUAAACUCCGAAUGCCAUGUACUUAUACUCGGGAGUCAGACUGCGAGUGAUAAGAUCCGUAGUCGAAAGGGAAACAGCCCAGACCACCAGUUAAGGUCCCCAAAUAUAUGUUAAGUGGAAAAGGAUGUGGGGUUGCUUAGACAACCAGGAUGUUGGCUUAGAAGCAGCCACCAUUGAAAGAGUGCGUAAUAGCUCACUGGUCGAGUGACCCCGCGCCGAAAAUGUACCGGGGCUAAACAUA
This 1194-nucleotide ribosomal RNA is filed under the name Listeria monocytogenes. Its description in RNAcentral is "partial 23S ribosomal RNA". It matches the Rfam family "Bacterial large subunit ribosomal RNA", at positions 1 to 1190 of the family's 2925-position model. The record is from RNAcentral. Lineage: Bacteria; Bacillati; Bacillota; Bacilli; Caryophanales; Listeriaceae.